GUGACCUCAAAUCAGGUAGGAUUACCCGCUGAACUUAAGCAUAUCAAUAAGCGGAGGAAAAGAAACUAACAAGGAUUCCCCUAGUAACUGCGAGUGAAGCGGGAAAAGCUCAAAUUUAAAAUCUGGCAGUCUUUGGCUGUCCGAGUUGUAAUCUAGAGAAGUGCUAUCCGCGCUGGACCGUGUACAAGUCUCCUGGAAUGGAGCGUCAUAGAGGGUGAGAAUCCCGUCUUUGACACGGACUGCCAGGGCUUUGUGAUGUGCUCUCGAAGAGUCGAGUUGUUUGGGAAUGCAGCUCAAAAUGGGUGGUAAAUUCCAUCUAAAGCUAAAUAUUGGCGAGAGACCGAUAGCGAACAAGUACCGUGAGGGAAAGAUGAAAAGAACUUUGGAAAGAGAGUUAAACAGUACGUGAAAUUGCUGAAAGGGAAACGCUUGAAGUCAGUCGCGUCGUCCAGGGAUCAACCUUGCUUUUGCUUGGUGCACUUUCUGGUUGACGGGUCAGCAUCAAUUUUGACCAUUGGAAAAAGAUUAGGGGAAUGUGGCAUCUUAGGAUGUGUUAUAGCCCUUGGUUGCAUACAAUGGUUGGGAUUGAGGAACUCAGCACGCCGCAAGGCCGGGUUUUUAACCACGUACGUGCUUAGGAUGCUGGCAUAAUGGCUUUAAUCGACCCGUC
This 670-nucleotide ribosomal RNA is filed under the name Cortinarius junghuhnii. Its description in RNAcentral is "eukaryotic LSU rRNA". It matches the Rfam family "Eukaryotic large subunit ribosomal RNA", at positions 1 to 653 of the family's 3401-position model. The record is from RNAcentral. Lineage: Eukaryota; Fungi; Basidiomycota; Agaricomycetes; Agaricales; Cortinariaceae.